GCCAGUGUGGUGUAGUGGUUUGAGUGUUGGACUACGACUCUGGAGAUGAGGGUUCGAUUCCCUGCUCAGCCA
Molecule: transfer RNA, 72 nt
Filed under: Phrynosoma platyrhinos (Desert horned lizard)
Lineage: Eukaryota; Metazoa; Chordata; Lepidosauria; Squamata; Phrynosomatidae
Description: tRNA-OTHER
Source: RNAcentral